UACGUAGGUCCCGAGCGUUGUCCGGAUUUAUUGGGCGUAAAGCGAGCGCAGGUGGUUUAUUAAGUCUGGUGUAAAAGGCAGUGGCUCAACCAUUGUAUGCAUUGGAAACUGGUAGACUUGAGUGCAGGAGAGGAGAGUGGAAUACCAUGUGUAGCGGUGAAAUGCGUAGAUAUACGGAGGAACACCGGUGGCGAAAGCGGCUCUCUGGCCUGUAACUGACACUGAGGCUCGAAAGCGUGGGGAGCAAACAGG
RNAcentral lists this ribosomal RNA (252 nucleotides) under uncultured bacterium. Its description in RNAcentral is "partial 16S ribosomal RNA". It matches the Rfam family "Bacterial small subunit ribosomal RNA", at positions 524 to 776 of the family's 1533-position model. The record is from RNAcentral.